Molecule: long non-coding RNA, 1721 nt
Organism: Polistes dominula (European paper wasp)
Lineage: Eukaryota; Metazoa; Arthropoda; Insecta; Hymenoptera; Vespidae
Source: RefSeq, a predicted model, not a curated record
AGAGCUCUCAGCUGUCCGGCCACCUCGAAAACCGGCGCCCGAACCCACAUUCCGAUACAGCGUGGCUCCUCUUUCUCUUCACGUGUGUGUUGUAUGUGUUAUGUGUGCGUGUACGUGUGCUUUAGUGUAGAAUUAGUGUAUACGUUGGAUACUUUCUUCUUUUAUCGUCUUCUUCAUCGCGAUUAUUGGUAGUUAGUUUGUGUGUGUAUAUGUGUGAUCCCGUGCCUUGGAUGUCUAGAUCGUGGAGAACACGCAAAACUUUCGUUCCGUUCUACGAGUUUACGUUGAGAGGAUGUAUUACGAUGGGAAAGUGUCUUCGCAUGGUUUAAAACACGAAUAGAAGAGACUAUACUCCAUAUUUGCGCUAUUCUCGUCAGGCGCCGUUCUAAAUGCCAGUAGCUUUAGUAACAGUGUUCUCUUCGGUGGAACAUAAUAGAAGAAUAAAGGUGAAGACAAAUUUUCAUACGACCCGUUUUAUUCCUUUCUUGAAUAAGUAAAAAGAAUAAGGAACAAGAAGAACAGAAAAAGAAAAAUAGACAAAAAAAAAUUACGAAGAAAAAUAAGAAGAAGUGUUUCGAGAAUAAACGUUUCUCUUCUCAUCGACAUAUAUAACACGCAUAAACGUACACAAACAUAUACAUAAAUAUAAAUACGUAUUAUAUACCAGUACGUACUACACGUAUACAACGCACAUACACAAUGUAACCGGUGUAUAUUAUAAGGUGGCACACAUGUGACAAAGGAAGUUAAUUUGAUAUUGAAACCAACUAUGGAGUCUACGCCAAUGAUACGAAAAUAUGCCAGCAGCAGCAGCAGCAGCAGGUCAUUUUCAAAGAGGCCUCCAACCAACCGCAACCGUGUGGCCAAAGGUAAUCCAAACUUUCUUCCUAGGGAGAGAAGAGUUUGCACAGCAGGUUUUCCUGUUUUAAAAGUACCUCUCGAACAUCAAAGCUACUUCCUCUCAUUCUCCAUCUUUACUCCCACCUUUCCCUUUUCCUCGUCCUCCUGCUCCUCCUCCUCCUCAUCUUCUUCUUCUUCUUCUCCUUCUUCUAUCAUCUAAAAGCAAAACUGGAAAAAGAUUCCCUUUUUUUUCUUUUUUUUUUUUUAAACCUAAACCCUCUACCCUCACUAGUGAAAAAAACAUUGGAUUCUUUUUGCAUGAUAUUAGAAUACUUCGUUCGUUCGGUUGUUCGUUCAUUCGUAACGAUUCGAUUCGGAAAUUGUGUAUGAAUUUCGAAUUCUCAAUUUUUUAGAAUCUCGGAAUUUCGAAUUCGAGUGGAUCCGACAUGUUACGUUAUGUGAUUCAUAUGUGUAAAUGUAUGCAUACGUAUUUGUAUGCGUAUGUUUAUGUGUUGUGUAUGUGUGCGUGGGUAGAAGCAUCGUGACGUUGACAGCCGCUCCUCGGGAUGAAAUCACGAGUGAUAUUUACGUUCCUCGAUCUGUUCCUCCCCCACUCUUGGACCAGAAACGUGUUCGCAAAUUUACCUUCCAUCAAGGACGUAAUUUCACGGAGAGGAUAAAAAAAAAAUACCCCUCGGAGAUAACCGUGAACCUAACAAAGUCGAUCUAUUAGUAAGAGAGAGAGAGAGAGAGAGAGAGUGUGGGAUAUGCCGUGAAGAGAAAAUUUUCGAUUAAACUUUUCCGCUACGGGGGUUGGUUUUUCGUUUAAAAAGCACCACCCACUUUCUAUCCACCCACUACUGCUCACUCACUCAUUCACU